UACGUAGGGGGCAAGCGUUGUCCGGAAUCAUUGGGCGUAAAGCGCGCGUAGGCGGCCCGGUAAGUCCGCUGUGAAAGUCAAAGGCUCAACCUUUGAAUGUCAGCGGAUACUGCCGGGCUAGAGUCCGGAAGAGGCGAGUGGAACUCCUGGUGUAGCGGUGGAAUGCGUAGAUAUCGAGAGGAACACCUGCGGCGAAGGCGGGUUGCUGGGCUGACACUGACGCUGAACUGCGAAAGCUAGGGGAGCGAACGGG
This 253-nucleotide ribosomal RNA is filed under the name uncultured bacterium. Its description in RNAcentral is "partial 16S ribosomal RNA". It matches the Rfam family "Bacterial small subunit ribosomal RNA", at positions 524 to 776 of the family's 1533-position model. The record is from RNAcentral.